Ceratina calcarata is the source of this 1140-nucleotide long non-coding RNA. RefSeq lists it as uncharacterized. The record is from RefSeq and is a predicted model, not a curated record. NCBI's taxonomy places the organism in Eukaryota, Metazoa, Arthropoda, Insecta, Hymenoptera, Apidae. The transcript has 2 exons.
AAUUUCUAAUAUUUUUGUAGUACGUAUCAACGACACUGUCACCUUUGUCGAGGAUGGCUUUGAUGAAGACAUUGAGUUCGGUGAUGAGAUCAGUGAUGACGAUGAAGACGAUGUUGACAAUAUCUGAUGACCUCCAGUAUAAAUAUAUUUAAAAGGUAUGAUACAGGAGUGCAUGAAGAGACCCAUUCAUUUUACAAGAUGCUACAAUUCGUUGCGCAACUGAUAUAUAAAAAUUCCUUUUUUUUAAAUAAGUAGUCAAUUUCUCUGUAUUAAAUAAAUUUUCACUUAUCCGUGUAAUAUUGUGUUCCGGUCUUACGAUUGUUGGACGCAAAAUUUUCAGGAAUAUAAAUCUCAUUAGUCUUAUGGUAUUCACUAUAUAGCCUGCCUUUUAAUUCUUUGUGACCUUGGAUUAAAAAUAAUGGUCCCACUUAGAAUGGACCAAAGUAUAUAUCGAUUUUCUUAAAAAUUUACACUUAAAUUCUGUAUUUGAAUAAUCUUUCAGUUUUACUGUUCGGCAGGAACGAUCUAAAAAUGCGGAUAGUUACUGUAUUUAUGUAUGUUACCAGUACGUUGUUCUUGUAGCUCUUUUCUUUUGUACAUUUUUUCUAUAACAAAUUAAGUGACACAUGUAUUUCAUCAUCGCUGUUUUUAAUCAGGGGGUUUAGUGAGUCACCAUACAUCACACACAAUAGUUAUUUCUAUAUGUGUUAAAGCGUUUCUCAUUGAAGAAUUUGUUAUAUAAUACAUGUGCAACUUGUCAAAGGAGAUUAUGUAAGUGUAUUUUAAAAAACGGUUCAGUGUAAUAUUGAAAUCAGAAUAUUAAUAGUAAAUAAUAAAGCAAUAUACAAACAUUAAUAAUGGUGCAUGAAAAAAUUUCUGUUAGAAACGAAAUAACGAUCCCCAUAAUCGGUGCAACAAUUAGCUCGAAAAUGUUUUCGAAAAAAAGUAUUAGUUACGUAUUAUAUUACACAUUACUUUUAAAUAUUAUUAUUUUAUUCUUCUGUACUUUGUAUUAAAAAAAAAUAUAGUCAAGUUGUAUGGAUCAUGUUACUGUUGUGUAAAACAUUGAUUCCAUAAACUUGUACUAAAGGAAAUUCAUGUCAACUGUUAACAACGAAUAAAAAUAUCUAAAACGCUAAA